UCCUUGGUGGUCCAGUGGUUAGGACUCUGUGCUUUCACUGCUGAGGGCUCAGGUUCAAUCCCUGGUUGGGGAA
This 73-nucleotide transfer RNA is filed under the name Bos taurus (domestic cattle). It matches the Rfam family "tRNA". Rfam says of the family: Transfer RNA (tRNA) molecules are approximately 80 nucleotides in length. Their secondary structure includes four short double-helical elements and three loops (D, anti-codon, and T loops). The record is from Rfam by way of RNAcentral. RNAcentral also lists the same sequence under 4 other names. Lineage: Eukaryota; Metazoa; Chordata; Mammalia; Artiodactyla; Bovidae.